RNAcentral lists this ribosomal RNA (493 nucleotides) under uncultured bacterium. RNAcentral describes it as "partial 16S ribosomal RNA". It matches the Rfam family "Bacterial small subunit ribosomal RNA", at positions 31 to 506 of the family's 1533-position model. The record is from RNAcentral.
GAAGAAAGCUGGCGGCGUGCUUAACACAUGCAAGUCGAACGGAAAGGCCUGCUUUCCCUUGUGUAUUGCGGGUACUCGCGUGGCGAACGGGUGAGUAACACGUGAGUGAUCUGCCCCCAACUUUGGUAUAAGCCUGGGAAACUGGGUCUAAUUCCCGAUAGGACUGCAGUGUGGUUCCUGUGGUUGAAAACGAUUUUCUAGUGGUUGGGGAUGAGCUCGCGGCCUAUCAGCUUGUUGGUGGGGUAAUGGCCUACCAAGGCGGCGACGGGUAGCCGGCCUGAGAGGGUGGACGGCGAGAUUGGGACUGAGAUACGGCCCAGAGUCAUACGGGAGGCAGCAGUGGGGAAUAUUGGACAAGGGGAGGAAGCCUGAUGCAGAGGCGCCGCGUGGGGGAGGACGGCCUUCGGGUUGUAAACUCCGUUCGAACGCGAGGAAGCCACCUGGUUGGAAGGGUGGUGACGGUAGUGGUAGAAGAAGCACCGGCUAACUACGU